AACGAACGCUGGCGGCAUGCCUAACACAUGCAAGUCGAACGAGACCUUCGGGUCUUGUGGCGCCCGGGUGCGUAACGCGUGGGAACCUGCCCUUAGGUUCGGAAUAACUCUCCGAAAGGGGUGCUAAUACCGAAUAAUGUCUUCGGACCAAAGAUUUAUCGACCUUGGAUGUUCCCGCGUUGGAUUCGCUAGUUCUUACGGUAAGAGACUACCAAGGCGCCGAUCCAUAGAUUGGAUGAGAGAAAGAUUAGCCACACUGAGACUAGGACACGGCCCGGAAUCCUACGGGAGGCAGCAGUGGGGAAUGUUGGAAAGCGGGGGGAGGGAUGAUGCAGUAAGGCCGCGAGAGUGAUGAAGGCAGUAGAGAUGUAAAGCGCUUUUACCCGGGAUGAUAAUGACAGUACCGAGAGAAUAAGCUCCGGCUAACUCCGUG
Molecule: ribosomal RNA, 433 nt
Filed under: uncultured bacterium
Lineage: Bacteria
Description: partial 16S ribosomal RNA
Rfam family: Bacterial small subunit ribosomal RNA
Source: RNAcentral